Molecule: ribosomal RNA, 253 nt
Filed under: uncultured bacterium
Lineage: Bacteria
Description: partial 16S ribosomal RNA
Rfam family: Bacterial small subunit ribosomal RNA
Source: RNAcentral
UACAGAGGGGGCAAGCGUUGUUCGGAAUUACUGGGCGUAAAGGGCGCGUAGGCGGCCCGUUAAGUCAGACGUGAAAUCCCUCGGCUCAACCGGGGAACUGCGUCUGAUACUGGCGGGCUUGAAUUCGGGAGAGGGAUGUGGAAUUCCAGGUGUAGCGGUGAAAUGCGUAGAUAUCUGGAGGAACACCGGUGGCGAAGGCGGCAUCCUGGACCGACAUUGACGCUGAGGCGCGAAAGCCAGGGGAGCAAACGGG